Molecule: ribosomal RNA, 1306 nt
Filed under: uncultured bacterium
Lineage: Bacteria
Description: bacterial SSU rRNA
Rfam family: Bacterial small subunit ribosomal RNA
Source: RNAcentral
AACGUACGCUGGCGGCACGCCUAACACAUGCAAGUCGAACGAAGUAGCAAUACUUAGUGGCAGACGGGUGAGUAACAUGUAGGUAUCUGCCCUUUGGCCUGGAAUAACACGAGGAAACUUGUGCUAAUACCGGAUAAGUCUUUACGGAGAAAGCUUUAUGCACCAUUGGAUGAGCCUGCACUUGAUUAGUUUGUUGGUGGGGUAAUGGCCUACCAAGACUGUGAUCAAUAGCUGAUUUGAGAGGAUGAUCAGCCACAUUGGGACUGAGACACGGCCCAAACUCCUACGGGAGGCAGCAGUGGGGAAUCUUGCACAAUGGAGGAAACUCUGAUGCAGCGAUGCCGCGUGAGUGAAGAAGGCCCUUGGGUUGUAAAGCUCUUUCGUCGGGGAAGAAAAUGACUGUACCCGAAUAAGAAGGUCCGGCUAACUUCGUGCCAGCAGCCGCGGUAAUACGAAGGGACCUAGCGUAGUUCGGAAUUACUGGGCUUAAAGAGUUCGUAGGUGGUUGAAAAAGUUAGUGGUGAAAUCCCAGAGCUUAACUCUGGAACUGCCAUUAAAACUUUUCAGCUAGAGUAUGAUAGAGGAAAGCAGAAUUUCUAGUGUAGAGGUGAAAUUCGUAGAUGUUAGAAAGAAUACCAAUUGCGAAGGCAGCUUUCUGGAUCAUUACUGACACUGAGGAACGAAAGCAUGGGUAGCGAAGAGGAUUAGAUACCCUCGUAGUCCAUGCCGUAAACGAUGUGUGUUAGACGUUGGAAAUUUAUUUUCAGUGUCGCAGGGAAACCGAUAAACACACCGCCUGGGGAGUACGACCGCAAGGUUAAAACUCAAAUGAAUUGACGGGGACCCGCACAAGUAGUGGAGCAUGUGGUUUAAUUCGAAGAUACGCGCAGAACCUUACCAACACUUGACAUGUUCGUCGCGACUCUAAGAGAUUAGAGUUUUCGGUUCGGCCGGACGAAACACAGGUGCUGCAUGGCUGUCGUCAGCUCGUGUCGUGAGAUGUUGGGUUAAGUCCCGCAACGAGCGCAACCCUCACUUUUAGUUGCCAUCAUUAAGUUGGGCACUCUGAAAGAACUGCCAGUGAUAAGCUGGAGGAAGGUGGGGAUGACGUCAAGUCCUCAUGGCCCUUACGUGUUGGGCUACACACGUGCUACAAUGGUAUCUACAACAGGAAGCAAGACUGCGAAGUUAAGCAAAUCCCUAAAAGAUACCUCAGUUCGGAUUGCACUCUGCAACUCGAGUGCAUGAAGCUGGAAUUACUAGUAAUCGUGGAUCAGCGUGCCACGGUGAAUGCGUUCCCGGGUCU